This 250-nucleotide ribosomal RNA is filed under the name Calliphora vicina (urban bluebottle blowfly). RNAcentral describes it as "partial large subunit ribosomal RNA". The record is from RNAcentral. Lineage: Eukaryota; Metazoa; Arthropoda; Insecta; Diptera; Calliphoridae.
ACGAGAAGACCCUAUAAAUCUUUAUAUUUAGAUUAUUAUAAUUUUCUAGAUUUUUUUUGUUAUAAUAAUCAAUGAUAUUUUAUUGGGGUGAUAUUAAAAUUUAAUAAACUUUUAAUUGUUAAAAUCAUUAAUUUAUGAAUAAUUGAUCCGUUAUUAGCGAUUAAAAAAAUAAGUUACUUUAGGGAUAACAGCGUAAUUUUUUUGGAGAGUUCAUAUCGAAAAAAAGAUUGCGACCUCGAUGUUGGAUUAA